GGGGUGAUGGGCGAGCCUGAUCAGCCAUGCCGCGUGUGUGAAGAAGGUCUUCGGAUUGUAAAGCACUUUAAGUUGGGAGGAAGGGCAUUAACCUAAUACGUUAGUGUUUUGACGUUACCGACAGAAUAAGCACCGGCUAACUCUGUGCCAGCAGCCGCGGUAAUACAGAGGGUGCAAGCGUUAAUCGGAAUUACUGGGCGUAAAGCGCGCGUAGGUGGUUUGUUAAGUUGGAUGUGAAAUCCCCGGGCUCAACCUGGGAACUGCAUUCAAAACUGACUGACUAGAGUAUGGUAGAGGGUGGUGGAAUUUCCUGUGUAGCGGUGAAAUGCGUAGAUAUAGGAAGGAACACCAGUGGCGAAGGCGACCACCUGGACUAAUACUGACACUGAGGUGCGAAAGCGUGGGGAGCAAACAGGAUUAGAUACCCG
Molecule: ribosomal RNA, 428 nt
Filed under: Pseudomonas fluorescens
Lineage: Bacteria; Pseudomonadati; Pseudomonadota; Gammaproteobacteria; Pseudomonadales; Pseudomonadaceae
Description: bacterial SSU rRNA
Rfam family: Bacterial small subunit ribosomal RNA
Source: RNAcentral